AGAGAAUAGAGCGUUAAGACUCUAUCGCCGAAGGUGCAAGUAAUUUAUUACGAAACUCUCAGGCAAAAGGAUAAUA
This 76-nucleotide unclassified non-coding RNA is filed under the name Staphylococcus aureus. RNAcentral's name for it is "Glycine". It matches the Rfam family "Glycine riboswitch aptamer", at positions 15 to 81 of the family's 94-position model. From Rfam's summary of the family: This family represents the bacterial glycine riboswitch. Glycine riboswitches usually consist of two metabolite-binding aptamers domains with similar structures in tandem. The record is from RNAcentral. Lineage: Bacteria; Bacillati; Bacillota; Bacilli; Caryophanales; Staphylococcaceae.